Molecule: long non-coding RNA, 990 nt
Filed under: Heterocephalus glaber (naked mole-rat)
Lineage: Eukaryota; Metazoa; Chordata; Mammalia; Rodentia; Bathyergidae
Description: lncRNA (ENSHGLG00000032524.1)
Source: RNAcentral
UAUUUCUCAGUCUCUGGGGUUUGUGGCUCUGAGGGGUGCAGUUGUUUGUGUGACCAAGGCUUUUUGCUGACGUGGUGGAAGAUGGGUGAGUGAAACCUUGAAGUUAAGAAUUCAAGCUUGAGCCAUGACUGGCACCAGCUCCAGUAAAGGACCAUUCCCAGCGUGCCAUGUGGGGAAUGUGAAAAGACAUUUCUGUAGAUUUCUUCUAAGCUGAAGUGAGGCAGCAAUCCCCACAGUCAGUUCAUACAGCACAUUAGCUUCUCAAAAGUCUCUUAGCCCUGCAGCAAGCUUUCUACUUACACACAUUUUUCAUUGUUUUAAAGGGUAAAUAAUGCUUUUCUGGACCGACUCCAAGGCAAAAGUCAACCAGGUGGCCUCCAGCAGUCUAGAGGCUAUUGGAAUACGAAUAGUGGUAACAGCUGGGGUAUAUGAGAAAUAUUAAUUUCUACCUGGUCUUCAUCAACUGACCUGGAAAAAACCUCCUGAGAUGCUUUUCCUUAAUGUAAUUUUGUUCAGCCUCACUGUUUUUUACCUUAGCUUCAACUGCCUACCCACUCAACUGAGCAGUUAGGGAUGGUCAAUUUCUCUGUCAUUAGUUAUGCAUGUUUGCAGGCUCUGAUUACUAAACUCAUUUAAUCUCUACUGCCUGAAAAAUGUUACAUUAUUUUUAUAAUUGGUUUUGCCUCUUAUUAGAAUCAUUAGAACAAUGUUAAUAAGAUAGAAAAAGAUGGAAUCACUUGAUAGUUUCAGGUUAGCGAGAAUGCUGGGCGCUACAGGCUUCUUUAUAUAAGCAACUAUUUCUAAGCUAAUUCUCAGAUCAGAUUUGGGGAAGCUUUGGGGUCUUUUAGGUUUUUAUCCCUACUUUCUUAAUCUAGGCAACAAAUAUAACCAAAAGAAAAGUAUUGUAUACUCUAUUAUAUGUGCUGCCGAAGCGAGCACAAGAAAAGUAUUGUAUACUCUAUUAAAAUUAUAAAUAAAUUUUGAACUGCU